Molecule: ribosomal RNA, 301 nt
Filed under: uncultured bacterium
Lineage: Bacteria
Description: partial 16S ribosomal RNA
Rfam family: Bacterial small subunit ribosomal RNA
Source: RNAcentral
CAGUCGCCACGGGAAUACGUAGGUGGCAAGCGUUGUCCGGAAUUAUUGGGCGUAAAGGGCUCGCAGGCGGUUUCUUAAGUCUGAUGUGAAAGCCCCCAGCUCAACCGGGGAGGGUCAUUGGAAACUGGGAAACUUGAGUGCAGAAGAGGAGAGUGGAAUUCCACGUGUAGCGGUGAAAUGCGUAGAGAUGUGGAGGAACACCAGUGGCGUAGGCGACUCUCUGGUCUGUAACUGACGCUGAGGAGCGAAAGCGUGGGGAGCGAACAGGAUUAGAUACCCCCGUAGUCCCUGUCUCUUAUAC